This 473-nucleotide ribosomal RNA is filed under the name uncultured bacterium. RNAcentral describes it as "bacterial SSU rRNA". It matches the Rfam family "Bacterial small subunit ribosomal RNA", at positions 335 to 801 of the family's 1533-position model. The record is from RNAcentral.
ACUCCUACGGGAGGCAGCAGUAGGGAAUCUUCCACAAUGGGCGCAAGCCUGAUGGAGCAACACCGCGUGAGUGAAGAAGGGUUUCGGCUCGUAAAGCUCUGUUGUUAAAGAAGAACACGUAUGAGAGUAACUGUUCAUACGUUGACGGUAUUUAACCAGAAAGUCACGGCUAACUACGUGCCAGCAGCCGCGGUAAUACGUAGGUGGCAAGCGUUAUCCGGAUUUAUUGGGCGUAAAGAGAGUGCAGGCGGUUUUCUAAGUCUGAUGUGAAAGCCCUCGGCUUAACCGGAGAAGUGCAUCGGAAACUGGAUAACUUGAGUGCAGAAGAGGGUAGUGGAACUCCAUGUGUAGCGGUGGAAUGCGUAGAUAUAUGGAAGAACACCAGUGGCGAAGGCGGCUACCUGGUCUGCAACUGACGCUGAGACUCGAAAGCAUGGGUAGCGAACAGGAUUAGAUACCCUGGUAGGAUAGCG